UUAUAGUUUAUUACAAUUUAUUUCAUUCUUGGUUGGUCCAAUCACAUUGAUCCAUUUGCACUCUAUAACCAAACCUCUUGAUAAAACCCACCGUUCAUUCAAGAAAUUUGCAGCAUCCUCACUGCUUUGUUGACAGUCGUGCCCCUUCCCUCUUCCUCUCAAAAAUACCCACUUCAUCUUCAACCUCCAAAAAUCCACUUCCAUCUCUCCAUCAUAUCUUCAUCAAGAAAAGGAAAGUAAAAAGGCUCAUCCUCCAAGCAAGGUGAUGAAGCAAGAAGACUUGUUCCAUCCAAUAAGCUAAGAGAAAGGUUUGUAGAUUUCUUCAAAUCCAAGAUGAUUCUUGCUCUCAAGUUUAGCAACCUUGAUAAUUUUUUCUCUGAAUGCUUUAGUUUUCCAAAUCUGCUUAGAGAUCAUGGUAUAAAUGAGUUGAUAGGAAGCUAUAUGACCUAUUACCCGAAUUUAGUAAGAGUUUUCUACUGUAAUAUGGAGUUGAAAAAUGAUACUAUAACUUCAAAUGUUAAAGGGGUACCAAUUUCUUUUACCGUGAAAGAGUUAGGAGAGGCUUUAGAUAUCUCUUAUGAAGGUGCUAAAAUUAAGAUCAAUCAUAAUGCAAAUUUACCUGGAUAUGACAAAAAUAAAUUUUAUUAUGGAAUUGCUAGGAUUUAUGAACAAGAAUUCUUUCAGAAAAGUAAGAAAAUUGUUGGUGGUAAUCCAGAAAGAAACUCACGGGCGACUGUAAUUUUUACCAUUGAUUACAAAUUGAUUCACUAUUUUAUUGCUUAUGUUGUAGUGUCAAAGUUCUCAAAUUUCUCAAUUGUUAAUGACUGUGAGAUGCAUAUUCUCUAUGCAAUAAAUAACAUCAGUUUUUUUAGAAAAAAUAACCUGAAUAUGUAAAAUGAAAGGAAGGUUGAUAUGGUCCCUCCGGAGAAUGAAGUCACUCCAAGGAAAGUGUGCAACACCAAGACGAGUGUCAAACUUGAUCCGGCGGCACGAAUAAUUACCUAUAUCAAUCCCCCUCAAAAAAACCAACCAAUAAGAAGUUUUCAAUCAUCAAGUGCUUAACUAUAUGCACUACAUGAACUCUCACAUUAGUAACCAAAUUUCUCAACUCUCCAUACAAAUGAACAUACCUCCAUAUGGAUUUACUCCUUAUCACUACCCUUUUGUCCAAAAUGAAGACCAAGACAACAACAAUGAUGAUGAGAUGAACCAAGAUUAGGAAUCUUUAUUCUAUGCUUUCUUUUGUGUUAGAAUGUUAAAGUAUUAUGUUCUCUUAUGUUAUCUUUCAUGUCUUUAAGAACAUGUUGUUUUUAGUUUUAUUGUGUUAAGUACUAUCUUUCCUUGUAUGUUGCUAAGAAAAAAUGUUUUGGUGUUAUGUUGUUUGAGUAUUAUGUUAUGUCCUACCUUUGCUUUGAUUAAGUUCCUUGUCUCUUAUACUAUUACCUUUACUUUCAUGAUUAUGUUUCAUAUUAAUUUCCUCAUUCUUUUUGAUAAUGCUAAAUGUGGAUAGAAAUAUAUACCAUUAUAUGCUUGUAUGCUUGUUAUUUACUCACUAACUUUUAUUAAAAGUCAAGAAAGAGUUAUCAAGUUUAGGGGGAGAUUCUCAAGUAUAUGGAUAUAAGAGUAAGGGGGAGUCUUGGUGAACCUAAGCAAAUGAACAUGAAGAUAUCAAUGUCAAAUUUCAUGGUUGUCAUCAUCAAAAAGAGGGAGAAUGUGAAGAUAAGCUUCCAACAUGUUUUAAUGAAGACAAACUCAAUAAUUUCAUUAUCAAAGAAGGAUAAAAAGAUCUUGAAGACUUGACCUUAUUUACAAGAUUGUGUUCAUCAUAUAAGACAUGGCAAGUGAUUGUUAUCCUGAUGCAAUCGAUUGUCAAAGGCUUAUUUUGAAGAUUUUUAAACGUUACAGGUAUGACAAUCGAAUGUCAUUAACUGGAACUUUUCUGAAAACUGCAUUAUUUCUCAACACAUUUUCAUCAAACCUUUUCAUGACAUCCUUUCCUUAUCAAUGCAUUAUCAUUUUUAAAAAUUCUUGCAACCAUUGCCAUGAUUUAUGAAUGGUUGUUUCACCACUAUAAAUAUAAUUCAAAAUUUCAUUUUACAUUCACCUCUUUCAAAAUAAUUAUCAAAUCUCUCUGCAAAAAAAUUCAUAAUGAAAUUUUCAUAAUUAGAUACUUUGUGAAACACAUUUUCAUAUCAUAUUCAUCAAAGUAUCAUCGAGUACUUAGAGAGUAAUUGUUAAUGAAUCUUCAUACUUGAAAGGGAAUAAGACUUUAUUCUUUUGAAUAAAAAUCUUAACCAUUCUACAAACUUCACUUAUUUCUAUCUAUUAUAUUUGUUACAAACUCCCAAGUAUCAAGAAUUGUUUGGUACUACGAGGGAUCUAUAAGAAGGUGGAUUGUAUCUUCUUGUAGAGACAUUUACUUAUUGUCCAGGAUUGUUGGACAUAAGUGUGUUGUAAAUCACAAGAGGGUUGUUCUUGGUGAUUAUGUUAGAGUCUUGUAUAGGAAGACUAAUAUUGUCUUGUACAUAAGAUCUAACAAUAUUAAAAUAGCUUACUACAUAAGGAGACUGAAGUACUCUUAAA
Long non-coding RNA from Lathyrus oleraceus (garden pea), 2583 nucleotides. RefSeq lists it as uncharacterized. The transcript is spliced from 2 exons. The record is from RefSeq and is a predicted model, not a curated record. NCBI's taxonomy places the organism in Eukaryota, Viridiplantae, Streptophyta, Magnoliopsida, Fabales, Fabaceae.